Molecule: ribosomal RNA, 253 nt
Filed under: uncultured bacterium
Lineage: Bacteria
Description: partial 16S ribosomal RNA
Rfam family: Bacterial small subunit ribosomal RNA
Source: RNAcentral
UACGGGGGGUGCGAGCGUUGUCCGGAAUCACUGGGCGUAAAGGGCGCGUAGGUGGUUUGAUAAGGGUGUGGUGAAAGUCCGGAGCUCAACUCCGGAUCUGCCGUGCCGACUGUCAAACUCGAGGGCUGUAGAGGCAGACGGAAUUCCGGGUGUAGCGGUGGAAUGCGUAGAGAUCCGGAAGAACACCGGUGGCGAAGGCGGUCUGCUGGGCAGUUGCUGACGCUGAUGCGCGACAGCGUGGGGAGCAAACGGG